RNAcentral lists this unclassified non-coding RNA (426 nucleotides) under Hevea brasiliensis (rubber tree). Lineage: Eukaryota; Viridiplantae; Streptophyta; Magnoliopsida; Malpighiales; Euphorbiaceae. The record is from RNAcentral.
GGAAAAUAUAAUCCACGAACUUGAGCCAAAAAGAAAGUGAUUAUCAACGACUUGGAGUUUCAAAUUUUAAACCGUGGGACUACUCCCUGACUAUUCUCUCUCCCCUUGUUUACCGUUAAAACUUCAAUUCAAACGACAGAGACCCCAGCCCAGAAGCCACUGCAAUGGAAGUGUCGAUCAAAGCUGAAGAAUGUCUAUCUACAUCCCUUUUUAUUGAGCUGAGUGGGUUUGCUGUUUUCAAAAGGGCAUGCAAAGCUAUUUCAAUUGAGGGGAAAGAUUUUGUUGAGCUAGGCUAAAGCAACAAAGAUACAAAGUGACAAGUAGCCACCUGGAAUUGGCCAAUAAGAAGAGAAAACUUGAAAGCUACGAAGUCAAAACUGUUCGGGGAUGAUUUAGCCUCAGCUUUGCAGCUUUGCGCCUUUAAAG